This 497-nucleotide ribosomal RNA is filed under the name uncultured bacterium. RNAcentral describes it as "partial 16S ribosomal RNA". It matches the Rfam family "Bacterial small subunit ribosomal RNA", at positions 28 to 507 of the family's 1533-position model. The record is from RNAcentral.
GAUGAACGCUGGCGGCGUGCCUAAUACAUGCAAGUCGAGCGAACAGACGAGGAGCUUGCUCCUCUGACGUUAGCGGCGGACGGGUGAGUAACACGUGGAUAACCUACCUAUAAGACUGGGAUAACUUCGGGAAACCGGAGCUAAUACCGGAUAAUAUAUUGAACCGCAUGGUUCAAUAGUGAAAGACGGUCUUGCUGUCACUUAUAGAUGGAUCCGCGCCGCAUUAGCUAGUUGGUAAGGUAACGGCUUACCAAGGCAACGAUGCCUAGCCGACCUGAGAGGGUGAUCGGCCACACUGGAACUGAGACACGGUCCAGACUCCUACGGGAGGGAGCAGUAGGGAAUCGUCCGCAAUGGGCGAAAGCCGGACGGAGCAACGCCGCGUGAGUGAUGAAGGUCUUCGGAUCGGAAAACUCUGUUAUUAGGGAAGAACAAAUGUGUAAGUAACUGGGCACGUCUUGACGGUACCUAAUCAGAAAGCCACGGCUAACUACGUG